This 450-nucleotide ribosomal RNA is filed under the name uncultured bacterium. RNAcentral's name for it is "partial 16S ribosomal RNA". It matches the Rfam family "Bacterial small subunit ribosomal RNA", at positions 354 to 796 of the family's 1533-position model. The record is from RNAcentral.
GUGGGGAAUUUUGGGCAAUGGGCGAAAGCCUGAUCCAGCCAUGCCGCGUGCAGGAUGAAGGCCUUCGGGUUGUAAACUGCUUUUGUACGGAACGAAAAGACUCCUUCUAAUAAAGGGGGUCCAUGACGGUACCGUAAGAAUAAGCACCGGCUAACUACGUGCCAGCAGCCGCGGUAAUACGUAGGGUGCAAGCGUUAAUCGGAAUUACUGGGCGUAAAGCGUGCGCAGGCGGUUAUAUAAGACAGAUGUGAAAUCCCCGGGCUCAACCUGGGAACUGCAUUUGUGACUGUAUAGCUAGAGUACGGUAGAGGGGGAUGGAAUUCCGCGUGUAGCAGUGAAAUGCGUAGAUAUGCGGAGGAACACCGAUGGCGAAGGCAAUCCCCUGGACCUGUACUGACGCUCAUGCACGAAAGCGUGGGGAGCAAACAGGAUUAGAAACCCUGGUAGUCC